RNAcentral lists this ribosomal RNA (392 nucleotides) under uncultured bacterium. Its description in RNAcentral is "partial 16S ribosomal RNA". It matches the Rfam family "Bacterial small subunit ribosomal RNA", at positions 523 to 918 of the family's 1533-position model. The record is from RNAcentral.
AUACGGAGGAUCCGAGCGUUAUCCGGAUUUAUUGGGUUUAAAGGGUGCGCAGGCGGCCAUUUAAGUCAGCGGUUAAAUCGUGGGGCUCAACCCCAUUCUGCCGUUGAUACUGGGUGGCUUGAUUGCGGUCGAGGUUGGUGGAAUUCGUUGUGUAGCGGUGAAAUGCAUAGAUAUGACGAAGAACACCGAUUGCGUAGGCAGCUGACCAGACCGCAAAUGACGCUCAUGCACGAAAGUGCGGGGAUCGAACAGGAUUAGAUACCCUGGUAGUCCGCACAGUAAACGAUGAAUACUUGUUUUCGGCGAUAUAAUGUCGGAGGCAAAGCGAAAGCGAUAAGUAUUCCACCUGGGGAGUACGCCGGCAACGGUGAAACUCAAAUGAAUUGACGGGG